CCAUAUCUUAUACAAAACAUAAAAAGAGUGGAAGCGAACUUGGGCUUAUUUCCCACAAAACAAAAGCAGUUGAAGAGAAUUUGGGCCUAUCUAUAGCCCAUGAGUAUAAAAUAAAAGAUAAAAAAAGUGGAGUAUAAAAUAAAAAAUAAAAAAAGUGGGUGUCCAUUUGAGUGGGCCCCUGGGCCAUAUUGGACUCAGAAUGCGGCGGCCCGCAAUCCGUCCACCGUUGAGAGCGGGAGGUGUUCGCAGCUCUGUGAAGCCAGCCUCACGCAAUACCCUCCACUUUAGGGCCCACUUGACCCAAGCCUCCGCCUGGGCCCACAUAGCCCACUACCCAACUUAGCCCGGACGGGCCAGCCCCUCGCACAGCUGCAGCCCAGACCCAACAACACCACCAAACGUCCGAACCCACCCUGUUGCCCCCGCUCGGGUUACAAGCUCCCGCUAAUGAGCUCGGCGAUCGAGGUUCUCCCUGUUGGGUUAAUUAAUGCUCUGAGUGUCUAUUAUGUUUCCGAUGUGGGACAAAAGAGUACGGUAGAUAGGGUCAUUUCCGUCAAAAAGCACUCCUAUCUCGGAGUCUACAAACUAAUGCUUUUUUUUUUUUUUCUUUUUUUUAACAAGAUUGAACUGCACAUUAGGAUCAUUGACUCCUCUCGAGAACGGAAAAAAAUAUAUAUAUAUAUUUAAAUUUUACUUUUGUUAUCUGAUUCUAUAGGUAUGUGAAAUUUAAAACCUUUUUAAGUUCAUCAUCAAGCCGUACAUGCUAUCAUAUUAAUUUAAUAAUCACAAAAUAAAAUAAUAAAAAUAUAUAUAAGGUUAAAUUAGAAAUUCAAAGUGCUUCAAGUAAAUAUGGACAAUUUUUUAGCAAAAGUCCCCGUCAGUAAUUUUCUUUCACCUCUGAAAGAUGAACAUAACUGCAAUGGGUCAAUUAUAAUUCGUUAGCGAUUUGGCUCCCACCUAUAUACACGAAAAUGGUUAAAGGCAUAUAAAAUUAUAUUAGACUCAAUUGAUUUUUUUUUUUUUUUGAAAUAAGUAGCACGCUAUCUGCUUCGUUUAUUUUAUUUAGAAAUAAAUUUAACUGAAAAUAUAAAUUAACUGGGAUUCGAACUUGGAAAUUCGGAUACCAACACCAAGUUUUUUGCCACUUGCUCUAGGAAUGGUCGGUAACUCAAUUUUAUUUCGAUUCAACAUCUGUAACCAUUGAUAUUUUAAAAAAUGCACCAAAUAAGAUCUAUUAAAUCAAAAAAAAGUUCAAAAUGUAGAACACAAUCCAAUCACAAGUCUCUUCCAUGCACCUAUGCAUCCGACCCAUACAUUUUCCUUGUACCAUGAAAAAAAAGGUGAACACAAACGACUGUUGGAAGGGAAACUAAACGAAAUGAAUCACUUCAAACUUAUACAUCUUACAAUGAGGCUGACGCUGAGGCUGAGGAUGCAUCAAUGUGGGGCGGCAGCACUGACGGCGGCGGUAGUUGCAUAGAAAGAAUUGACGACGGUGAUGGACAGCGUACCGACAUGCGUGUUCCAACACGCCGCGUGCCGCUGCACCGUCUCCUGCACCCCGGCCAACGCCACCAAGAAUUCUGCCGCCUGUGCUGGAUCGAGCACCCCCUUUGCUGCCACCUCCACCACCCAAUACCUCAAUUUUCCGGCCUUCCUUACUAUCUUCCCCAUCUUCCUCAUUUCUUCUACCGCCGUCUCCACCACCAUUUCUAUUCCCCUACGCCGUCCUCCUACUGUUAAAUACUAUUAUAAAAUAUUAAAAUAUAGUUCUCUCGUAGGGUAUAUGUAUGGUUCUAAGAGUUAUUGGUUGUUUGUUUUCGCACCUGCUUCGGCGAAAUCUAGCUUGAGUAUGCAGGUGGCCUGGUACUCCGCGACCUUGGCAUCGAGCGCGACCUCGUGGGCGUGGAGGUGGCGUGCGACCUCGGCGAGUGUGCGGAGGGCGCGCUGGGGGAGCACAUAUCGUACAACCGGCGAACUUGAUUUUGGGCCUCAUUUAGGGAGCCUGUAAUAAAAAAAAUAAAAGAUAAAAAAGUGGGUGUCCGUUUGAAUGGGGCGCUGGGUCAUAUUGGACUCAGAAUGCGGCGGCCCGUAAUCCGUCCACCAUUGGAAGCGGGAGGUGUUCGCUGCUCUGUGAAGCCAGCCUCACGCGGUCUCCUCCACUCUAAGGCCGACUUGACCCAAGCCUUCGCCUGAGUCCACAUUGACAACUGCCCAACUUGGACCGGGCGGGCCAGCCCCUCGCACAACUGCAGCCCAGACCCAACAACACCACCAAACGUCCGAACCCACCCUGUUGCCCCCCGCUCGGGUUACAAGCUCCCGCUACUGAGCUCGGCGA
Molecule: long non-coding RNA, 2341 nt
Filed under: Ananas comosus (pineapple)
Lineage: Eukaryota; Viridiplantae; Streptophyta; Magnoliopsida; Poales; Bromeliaceae
Description: long non-coding RNA (ACOM_LNC021806)
Source: RNAcentral